GGGUGACUGUCCCGCCUCGCCGCGCGGACUCGCCUCAAAGUCAUUGGCAGCAGACUCGGUAGCUAAUUGCGCAGCACAUCGCGCCAGAGGCUCCGGGCCUGCUCUCCACGAGCACAGUCUCAUCAGUUUGACCUCGGAUCAGGUAGGGAUACCCGCUGAACUUAAGCAUAUCAAUAAGCGGAGGAAAAGAAACCAACAGGGAUUGCCCUAGUAACGGCGAGUGAAGCGGCAACAGCUCAAAUUUGAAAUCUGGCUCCUUCCGGGGUCCGAGUUGUAAUUUGUAGAGGGUGCUUUGGCGUCGGCCAUGGUCUAAGUUCCUUGGAACAGGGCGUCACAGAGGGUGAGAAUCCCGUACGUGGCCGCUGGCCUUCGCCAUGUAAAGCCCCUUCGACGAGUCGAGUUGUUUGGGAAUGCAGCUCUAAAUGGGAGGUAAAUUUCUUCUAAAGCUAAAUAUUGGCCAGAGACCGAUAGCGCACAAGUAGAGUGAUCGAAAGAUGAAAAGCACUUUGGAAAGAGAGUCAAAAAGCACGUGAAAUUGUUGAAAGGGAAGCGCUUGCAGCCAGACUUGCCCGUAGUUGCUCAUCCAGGCUUCGGCCCGGUGCACUCUUCUGCGGGCAGGCCAGCAUCAGUUCAGGCGGUCGGAUAAAGGUCCCGGGAAUGUGGCUCUCUUCGGGGAGUGUUAUAGCCCGGGGCGUAAUGCGGCCAG
This 706-nucleotide ribosomal RNA is filed under the name fungal endophyte. Its description in RNAcentral is "eukaryotic LSU rRNA". The stretch from base 129 to 706 matches the Rfam family "Eukaryotic large subunit ribosomal RNA", at positions 1 to 582 of the family's 3401-position model. Lineage: Eukaryota; Fungi. The record is from RNAcentral.